AACGAACGCUGGCGGCAUGCCUAACACAUGCAAGUCGAACGAGACCUUCGGGUCUAGUGGCGCACGGGUGCGUAACGCGUGGGAACCUGCCCUUAGGUUCGGAAUAACUCCCCGAAAGGGGUGCUAAUACCGGAUAAUGUCUUCGGACCAAAGAUUUAUCGCCAUUGGAUGGACCCGCGUUGGAUUAGCUAGUUGGUAGGGUAAAAGCCUACCAAGGCGACGAUCCAUAGCUGGUCUGAGAGGAUGAUCAGCCACACUGGGACUGAGACACGGCCCAGACUCCUACGGGAGGCAGCAGUGGGGAAUAUUGGAAAAUGGGCGGAAGGCUGAUGCAGCAAUGCCGCGUGAGUGAUGAAGGCCUUAGGGUUGUAAAGCUCUUUUAACCGGGAUGAUAAUGACAGUACCGGGAGAAUAAGCUCCGGCUAACUCCGUG
Molecule: ribosomal RNA, 433 nt
Filed under: uncultured bacterium
Lineage: Bacteria
Description: partial 16S ribosomal RNA
Rfam family: Bacterial small subunit ribosomal RNA
Source: RNAcentral